GUGCUUAACACAUGCAAGUCGAACGAUGAAGCCCAGCUUGCUGGGUGGAUUAGUGGCGAACGGGUGAGUAACACGUGAGUAACCUGCCCUUGACUCUGGGAUAAGCGUUGGAAACGACGUCUAAUACCGGAUACGAGCUUCCACCGCAUGGUGAGUUGCUGGAAAGAAUUUUGGUCAAGGAUGGACUCGCGGCCUAUCAGCUUGUUGGUGAGGUAACGGCUCACCAAGGCGACGACGGGUAGCCGGCCUGAGAGGGUGACCGGCCACACUGGGACUGAGACACGGCCCAGACUCCUACGGGAGGCAGCAGUGGGGAAUAUUGCACAAUGGGCGAAAGCCUGAUGCAGCAACGCCGCGUGAGGGACGACGGCCUUCGGGUUGUAAACCUCUUUUAGCAGGGAAGAAGCGAAAGUGACGGUACCUGCAGAAAAAGCACCGGCUAACUACGUGCCAGCAGCCGCGGUAAUACGUAGGGUGCAAGCGUUGUCCGGAAUUAUUGGGCGUAAAGAGCUCGUAGGCGGUUUGUCGCGUCUGCUGUGAAAUCCCGAGGCUCAACCUCGGGUCUGCAGUGGGUACGGGCAGACUAGAGUGCGGUAGGGGAGAUUGGAAUUCCUGGUGUAGCGGUGGAAUGCGCAGAUAUCAGGAGGAACACCGAUGGCGAAGGCAGAUCUCUGGGCCGCUACUGACGCUGAGGAGCGAAAGGGUGGGGAGCAAACGGGCUUAAAUACCCUGGUAGUCCACCCCGUAAACGUUGGGCGCUAGAUGUGGGGACCAUCCCACGGUUCCCGUGUCGUAACUAACGCAUUAAGC
This 810-nucleotide ribosomal RNA is filed under the name Plantibacter sp. AaM38a. Its description in RNAcentral is "bacterial SSU rRNA". It matches the Rfam family "Bacterial small subunit ribosomal RNA", at positions 44 to 865 of the family's 1533-position model. The record is from RNAcentral. Lineage: Bacteria; Bacillati; Actinomycetota; Actinomycetes; Micrococcales; Microbacteriaceae.